GAUGAACGCUGGCGGCGUGCUUAACACAUGCAAGUCGAACGAUGAAGCCCAGCUUGCUGGGUGGAUUAGUUGCGAACGGGUGAGUAACACGUGAGUAACCUGCCCUUAACUCUGGGAUAAGCCUGGGAAACUGGGUCUAAUACCUGAUAGGAGCGUCCACCGCAUGGUGGGUGUUGGAAAGAUUUAUCGGUUUUGGAUGGACACGCGGCCUAUCAGCUUGUUGUUGAGGUAAUGGCUCACCAACGCGACGACGGGUAGCCGGCCUGAGAGGGUGACCGGCCACAAUGGGACUGAGACAGGGCGCAGACUCCUACGGGAGGCAGCAGGGGGGAAUAUUGCACAAUGGGCGCAAGCCAGAUGCAGCGACGCCGCGUGAGGGAUGACGGCCUUCGGGUUGUAAACCUCUUUCAGUAGGGAAGAAGCGAAAGUGACGGUACCUGCAGAAGAAGCACCGGCUAACUACGUG
RNAcentral lists this ribosomal RNA (466 nucleotides) under uncultured bacterium. Its description in RNAcentral is "partial 16S ribosomal RNA". It matches the Rfam family "Bacterial small subunit ribosomal RNA", at positions 28 to 507 of the family's 1533-position model. The record is from RNAcentral.